UUGUGGCUAAAAAGCUCGUAGUUGGAUCUCGGCGGUCUGAGGGCGGUUCGCUUGAUUGAGUGCUACUGCUCUAUAGGCCGUGGUUUUGCCAGAGGUCUCGGGGUGCUCUUAACCGAGUGUCCUGCGAUGCUGGCAGGUUUACUUUGAAAAAAUUAGAGUGCUCAAAGCAGGCUUUUACGCCUGAAUAUUCGUGCAUGGAAUAAUAGAAUAGGAAGUCGUUUCUAUUUUGUUGGUUUUCGGAAAUCGACUUAAUGAUUAAUAGGGACAGUCGGGGGCAUUUGUAUUCAAACGACAGAGGUGAAAUUCUUGGACCGUUUGAAGACAAACUACUGCGAAAGCAUUUGCCAAGAAUGUUUUCAUUAAUCAAGAACGAAAGUUAGAGGUUCGAAGGCGAUUAGAUACCGCCCUAGUUCUAACCAUAAACGAUGCCACUAGCGAUCUGCCGACGUUUCUU
This 454-nucleotide ribosomal RNA is filed under the name uncultured eukaryote. Its description in RNAcentral is "SSU rRNA". It matches the Rfam family "Eukaryotic small subunit ribosomal RNA", at positions 613 to 1068 of the family's 1831-position model. The record is from RNAcentral.